CCUACGGGAGGCAGCAGUAGGGGAUAUUGCUCAAUGGGGGAAACCCUGAAGCAGCAACGCCGCGUGGAGGAUGAAGGUUUUCGGAUUGUAAACUCCUUUUGUUAGAGAAGAUAAUGACGGUAUCUAACGAAUAAGCACCGGCUAACUCCGUGCCAGCAGCCGCGGUAAUACGGAGGGUGCAAGCGUUACCCGGAAUCACUGGGCGUAAAGAGCGCGUAGGCGGGAUAGCAAGUCAGAUGUGAAAUCCUAUGGCUUAACCAUAGAACUGCAUUUGAAACUGUUAUUCUAGAGUAUGGGAGAGGUAGGUGGAAUUCUUGGUGUAGGGGUAAAAUGCGUAGAGAUCAAGAGGAAUACUCAUUGCGAAGGCGACCUGCUAGAACAUAACUGACGCUGAUGCGCGAAAGCGUGGGGAGCAAACAGGAUUAGAUACCCCUGUAGUC
Molecule: ribosomal RNA, 440 nt
Filed under: uncultured bacterium
Lineage: Bacteria
Description: partial 16S ribosomal RNA
Rfam family: Bacterial small subunit ribosomal RNA
Source: RNAcentral